RNAcentral lists this ribosomal RNA (3085 nucleotides) under Shigella sonnei. RNAcentral describes it as "bacterial LSU rRNA". It matches the Rfam family "Bacterial large subunit ribosomal RNA". Lineage: Bacteria; Pseudomonadati; Pseudomonadota; Gammaproteobacteria; Enterobacterales; Enterobacteriaceae. The record is from RNAcentral.
UUAAGCGACUAAGCGUACACGGUGGAUGCCCUGGCAGUCAGAGGCGAUGAAGGACGUGCUAAUCUGCGAUAAGCGUCGGUAAGGUGAUAUGAACCGUUAUAACCGGCGAUUUCCGAAUGGGGAAACCCAGUGUGAUUCGUCACACUAUCAUUAACUGAAUCCAUAGGUUAAUGAGGCGAACCGGGGGAACUGAAACAUCUAAGUACCCCGAGGAAAAGAAAUCAACCGAGAUUCCCCCAGUAGCGGCGAGCGAACGGGGAGCAGCCCAGAGCCUGAAUCAGUGUGUGUGUUAGUGGAAGCGUCUGGAAAGGCGCGCGAUACAGGGUGACAGCCCCGUACACAAAAAUGCACAUAUUGUGAGCUCGAUGAGUAGGGCGGGACACGUAGUAUCCUGUCUGAAUAUGGGGGGCCCAUCCUCCAAGGCUAAAUACUCCUGACUGACNGGAGCCCAGAGCCUGAAUCAGUGUGUGUGUUAGUGGAAGCGUCUGGAAAGGCGUGCGAUACAGGGUGACAGCCCCGUACACAAAAAUGCACAUAUUGUGAGCUCGAUGAGUAGGGCGGGACACGUGGUAUCCUGUCUGAAUAUGGGGGGACCAUCCUCCAAGGCUAAAUACUCCUGACUGACCGAUAGUGAACCAGUACCGUGAGGGAAAGGCGAAAAGAACCCCGGCGAGGGGAGUGAAAAAGAACCUGAAACCGUGUACGUACAAGCAGUGGGAGCACGCUUAGGCGUGUGACUGCGUACCUUUUGUAUAAUGGGUCAGCGACUUAUAUUCUGUAGCAAGGUUAACCGAAUAGGGGAGCCGAAGGGAAACCGAGUCUUAACUGGGCGUUAAGUUGCAGGGUAUAGACCCGAAACCCGGUGAUCUAGCCAUGGGCAGGUUGAAGGUUGGGUAACACUAACUGGAGGACCGAACCGACUAAUGUUGAAAAAUUAGCGGAUGACUUGUGGCUGGGGGUGAAAGGCCAAUCAAACCGGGAGAUAGCUGGUUCUCCCCGAAAGCUAUUUAGGUAGCGCCUCGUGAAUUCAUCUCCGGGGGUAGAGCACUGUUUCGGCAAGGGGGUCAUCCCGACUUACCAACCCGAUGCAAACUGCGAAUACCGGAGAAUGUUAUCACGGGAGACACACGGCGGGUGCUAACGUCCGUCGUGAAGAGGGAAACAACCCAGACCGCCAGCUAAGGUCCCAAAGUCAUGGUUAAGUGGGAAACGAUGUGGGAAGGCCCAGACAGCCAGGAUGUUGGCUUAGAAGCAGCCAUCAUUUAAAGAAAGCGUAAUAGCUCACUGGUCGAGUCGGCCUGCGCGGAAGAUGUAACGGGGCUAAACCAUGCACCGAAGCUGCGGCAGCGACGCUUAUGCGUUGUUGGGUAGGGGAGCGUUCUGUAAGCCUGCGAAGGUGUGCUGUGAGGCAUGCUGGAGGUAUCAGAAGUGCGAAUGCUGACAUAAGUAACGAUAAAGCGGGUGAAAAGCCCGCUCGCCGGAAGACCAAGGGUUCCUGUCCAACGUUAAUCGGGGCAGGGUGAGUCGACCCCUAAGGCGAGGCCGAAAGGCGUAGUCGAUGGGAAACAGGUUAAUAUUCCUGUACUUGGUGUUACUGCGAAGGGGGGACGGAGAAGGCUAUGUUGGCCGGGCGACGGUUGUCCCGGUUUAAGCGUGUAGGCUGGUUUUCCAGGCAAAUCCGGAAAAUCAAGGCUGAGGCGUGAUGACGAGGCACUACGGUGCUGAAGCAACAAAUGCCCUGCUUCCAGGAAAAGCCUCUAAGCAUCAGGUAACAUCAAAUCGUACCCCAAACCGACACAGGUGGUCAGGUAGAGAAUACCAAGGCGCUUGAGAGAACUCGGGUGAAGGAACUAGGCAAAAUGGUGCCGUAACUUCGGGAGAAGGCACGCUGAUAUGUAGGUGAAGUCCCUUGCGGAUGGAGCUGAAAUCAGUCGAAGAUACCAGCUGGCUGCAACUGUUUAUUAAAAACACAGCACUGUGCAAACACGAAAGUGGACGUAUACGGUGUGACGCCUGCCCGGUGCCGGAAGGUUAAUUGAUGGGGUCAGCGCAAGCGAAGCUCUUGAUCGAAGCCCCGGUAAACGGCGGCCGUAACUAUAACGGUCCUAAGGUAGCGAAAUUCCUUGUCGGGUAAGUUCCGACCUGCACGAAUGGCGUAAUGAUGGCCAGGCUGUCUCCACCCGAGACUCAGUGAAAUUGAACUCGCUGUGAAGAUGCAGUGUACCCGCGGCAAGACGGAAAGACCCCGUGAACCUUUACUAUAGCUUGACACUGAACAUUGAGCCUUGAUGUGUAGGAUAGGUGGGAGGCUUUGAAGUGUGGACGCCAGUCUGCAUGGAGCCGGCCUUGAAAUACCACCCUUUAAUGUUUGAUGUUCUAACGUGGACCCGUGAUCCGGGUUGCGGACAGUGUCUGGUGGGUAGUUUGACUGGGGCGGUCUCCUCCUAAAGAGUAACGGAGGAGCACGAAGGUUGGCUAAUCCUGGUCGGACAUCAGGAGGUUAGUGCAAUGGCAUAAGCCAGCUUGACUGCGAGCGUGACGGCGCGAGCAGGUGCGAAAGCAGGUCAUAGUGAUCCGGUGGUUCUGAAUGGAAGGGCCAUCGCUCAACGGAUAAAAGGUACUCCGGGGAUAACAGGCUGAUACCGCCCAAGAGUUCAUAUCGACGGCGGUGUUUGGCACCUCGAUGUCGGCUCAUCACAUCCUGGGGCUGAAGUAGGUCCCAAGGGUAUGGCUGUUCGCCAUUUAAAGUGGUACGCGAGCUGGGUUUAGAACGUCGUGAGACAGUUCGGUCCCUAUCUGCCGUGGGCGCUGGAGAACUGAGGGGGGCUGCUCCUAGUACGAGAGGACCGGAGUGGACGCAUCACUGGUGUUCGGGUUGUCAUGCCAAUGGCACUGCCCGGUAGCUAAAUGCGGAAGAGAUAAGUGCUGAAAGCAUCUAAGCACGAAACUUGCCCCGAGAUGAGUUCUCCCUGACCCUUUAAGGGUCCUGAAGGAACGUUGAAGACGACGACGUUGAUAGGCCGGGUGUGUAAGCGCAGCGAUGCGUUGAGCUAACCGGUACUAAUGAACCGUGAGGCUUAACCUU